GAGACUAUACUUUCAGGGAUCAUAUCUAUAGUAUGUUACUAGAGAAGUUUCUCUGAACGUGUAGAGCACCGUCUCAAUAAAUUAGGUAUUGA
RNAcentral lists this small nucleolar RNA (92 nucleotides) under Nomascus leucogenys (northern white-cheeked gibbon). RNAcentral describes it as "Small nucleolar RNA U3". It matches the Rfam family "Small nucleolar RNA U3", at positions 1 to 96 of the family's 219-position model. From Rfam's summary of the family: Small nucleolar RNAs (snoRNAs) are involved in the processing and modification of rRNA in the nucleolus. Lineage: Eukaryota; Metazoa; Chordata; Mammalia; Primates; Hylobatidae. The record is from Rfam by way of RNAcentral.